Molecule: long non-coding RNA, 410 nt
Organism: Anopheles arabiensis
Lineage: Eukaryota; Metazoa; Arthropoda; Insecta; Diptera; Culicidae
Exons: 3
Source: RefSeq, a predicted model, not a curated record
UCGUUCGAAACUCAUUGCCAGAACGAAUGCAAAUUUCAUUUGGGAAGGAUUGGUGCUGGAAGAUGCAGCGAAAAUCAUUAAAUGUUAAUAGAAAAGUGGUUAAGUUAAUCGUGAAAGAUGUCAACGCAGGCGUAAAUGCAGUUUGUUUUGUUACUUGCUCUACGGCAAUUUCAUUACCAAAGCACCUGAUAACCGAUCAAAGAAGGUGAAUCGGGCUUACAGAGUCGCCGUUUAACUUCAAAUUUCUUCGUGAUCGGAAAACGCAUCAAACAGCAAGUGUUUUUCUUCCAACAGCACACGCCAUCGGUGGAGCAAGCAGCCAACGUUUCGUUCGUCUAGCACGCACCAUCAAGAAUUGAAAUAUUCCAGAAUAGCUCUGUGAAUAAAAAACUGCACACUUACUGUCCGAA